UGACUGCUGGGAACCAAGUCCCUAAAGUCAAGAUAGCCUACUCACAGUACUAGUCUCACACCACAACAACCCUGAUUAAAAUUCCUGAACCAUUCCUGGAGUAAAUCAACAUUGAGUUCCUUACCACGUAUGAGAGAGAAUUCAGAUGUGUCAGAUGUGUUAUUAUUUGGCCCCAAACACAGGGGGGAAGUGUGUGUGUGUGUGUGUGUGUGUGUGUAAGGUCAGGGAGCAGCAGGCAGAACAUGGAAACAGGCAGUGAAUACAUGUACAGUUUAUGGGCUGUGAAAUGUGAACAGCGUUUCAAUGAUUAUAGCCAGGCUACACCAGACAUUCCAUCGUGAAAAACUACUCCCCAGAAUAGCAAUGAUGCUCUAAAGUCUACCCACAGUAAAUGUUAGAUCCCCUUUACUGAAAGUGGUGUUUAUGUACCAGGAAACAUUGUUUUAUCUCCAUUAUCUCCGCAACCUUUAAAGGAUAAGAUAAUAUAAUUCAAAUGAAAACGUCUGUUGCAUUGACCCACGUAAAUGUAAUUGUUUUUUAUUUAUUUAUUUUAGCCGCUCCGGAUGUGCUCGCUCUCAGUAUUGUCAUUCAGUAUUGUCAUUCACUAAGUGUCAAUACAAUCAGAUUAAAGGGCUUAACACUGACAGAAUGGCACACAUCUCACUCUAGCGCUACCAAUCACAAACAGAUAUGAGUCAUCCUGGUCAAACGUCAGUUACGUUUCCAAAGCCACCCUAGUCCCUCUAUAGUGCCCUACUCUGGUCAACAGUAGUGCACUAUAAAUGGAAUGGGGUACCAUUUGGGACGCGCUCAUUGUUGAUACAAUGUCCUUAAGAGCAUAGUGUCUGUCCUUCAGUGGACCAAUUAGAGCAACAUGCCAACCUCAAUCAGCUACUGCCUCAGGUUAGAUGUCUAUCAGGAACAUGACCUUUCUCACCACUGCUAUCAGCGAAUGACAGCCCUGACCAGCUUGGCUCACUGUCCAUAGAAAUCUGAGUCAAAAUGGCACCCAAUUCCCUUUACAGGGCAAUACUUUAGUCAAAAGUAAUCCACUAUUAUUGGAAUCUGGUGUCAUGUGGGACGCACCCUAAAUCUUCCAUAGACUUUCCCCGUUAUUGUUGUUGGUCCUGACAGAGUAUUGACAUGUGUAUUGGUAUGGACAGUGUAUUGGUAUAGACAGUGUAUUGGUAUGGACAGUGUAUUGGUAUGGGCAGUGUAUUGGUGUGCACAGUGUAUUGGUGUGGACAGUGUAUUGGUGUGGACAGUGUAUUGGUAUAGACAGUGUAUUGGUAUAGACAUUGUAUUGGUAUGGACAGUGUAUUGGUAUGGACAGUGUAUUGGUAUAGACAGUGUAUUGGUAUGGACAUUGUAUUGGUGUGGACAGUGUAUUGGUGUGGACAGUGUAUUUGUAUGGACAGUGUAUUGGUAUGGACAACAUAUGGUGGUGAAUAGGCCUAAACAGUGUCGAGUAAGACUUUCUUCCUAUUUAUCCAAUUUGUUCACUGUAUAUCGACCUCCUGAAUCGUCAAGGAACGUACCCUGAUUUUAUAUAUUUGUUUAAUUUAUCCAGAGAAGGGAGGCAGAGAAUAAAAUCUUAUUUAUGACGCAUUGGCAUCUGAUGGUGGAGCUCAUAUCUGCCCUAUGGUUUAUCCACAUUAUUACCUCAGUGCGGUGCUGAGCAGGGCAGAUCUGAUAGACCCACUGUGUCGGUGCCUUAUCAGGCCUGCACAUCUUGAACAGGGAGGCGUGAGCUUCAGGUUUGCGUGCAAACGGAGGAGUCAAACAAAAGUGAAGGGGAAGAGGAGCACUGAUUGUUAUCCUGGCUGUAGCAGCCAUAAGGGCUGCCUCGCUGCCUCACUGCCUCCCUGCCUCCCUGCCUCACUGCUUCCCUGCCUUCCCGCCUCACUGUGUCCCUGAAUCACAAUAUGAGUCUGUCUCAAACGUCACCCUACUGCCUACAGUUGAAGUCGGAAGUUUACAUACACCUUAGCCAAAUACAAUUAAACUCAGUUUUUCACAAUUCCUGACAUUUAAUCCUAGUAAAAAUUCCCUGUCUUAGGUCAGUUAGGAUCAGCACUUUAUUUUAAGAAUGUGAAAUGUCAGAAUAAUAGUAGAGAGAAUGAUUUAUUUCAGCUUUUAUUUCUUUCAUCACAUUCCCAGUGGGUCUGAAGUUUACAUACACUUUAUCUUGGGUCAAACGUUUUGGGUAGCCUUCCACAAGCUUCCCACAAUAAGUUGGGUGAAUUUUGGCCUAUUCCUCCUGACAUAGCUGGUGAACUGAGUCAGGUUUGUAGGCCUCUUUGCUCGCACAUGCUUUUUCAGUUCUGCCCACAAAUGUUUUAUAGGAUUGAGGUCAGGGCUUUCUGAUGGCCACUCCAAUACCUUGACUUGUUGUCUUAAGCCAUUUUGCCACAGCUUUGGAAGUAUGCUUGGGGUCAUUGUCUAUUUGGAAGACCCAUUUGCGACCAAGCUUUAACUUCCUGACUGAUGUCUUGAGACGUUGCUUCAAUAAAUCCACAUAAUUUUCCUUCCUCAUGAAGCCAUCUAUUUUGUGAAGUGCACUAGUUCCUCCUGCAGCAAAGCACCCCCACAACAUGAUGCUGCCACCCCCGUGCUUCACGGUUGGGAUGGUGUUCUUCGGCUUGCAAGCCUCCCCCUUUUUCCUCCAAACAUAAUGAUGUUCAUUAUGACCAAACAGUUCUAUAUUUGUUUCAUCAGACCAGAGCACAUUUCUCCAAAAAGUACGAUCUUUGUCCACAUGUGCAGUUGUAAACCGUAGUCUGGCUUUUUUAUGGAGGUUUGGAGCAGUGGCUUCUUCCUUGCGAGCGAACUUUCAGGUUAUUUCUAUAUAGGACUUGUUUUACUGUGGAUAUAGAUACUUUUGUACCUGUUUCCUCCAGCAUCUUCACAAGGUCCUUUGCUGUUGUUCUGGGAUUGAUUUGAACUUUUUGCACCAAAGUACGUUCAUCUCUAGGAGACAGAACACGUCUCCUUCCUAAGCGGUAUGACGGCUGCGUGGUCCCAUGGUGUUUAUACUUGCGUACUAUUGUUUGUACAGAUGAACAUGGUACCUUCAGGCGUUUGGAAAUUGCUCCCAAGGAUGAACCAGACUUGUGGUCUACAAUUUCUUGGCUGAUUUCUUUUGAUUUUCCCAUUUUCCCACUGAGUUUGAAGGUAGGCCUUGAAAUACAUCCACAGGUACACCUCCAAUUGACUCAAAUUAUGUCAAUUAGCCUAUCAGAAGCUUCUAAAGUCAAUUUAGUGUAUGUUAACUUCUGACCCACUGGAAUAGUGAUACAGUGAAUUAUAAGUGAAAUAAUCUGUCUGUAAACAAUUGUUUGAAAAAUUACUUGUGUCAUGCACAAGGUAGAUGUCCUAAAUUACUUGCCAAAACUAUAGUUUGUUAACAAGAAAUUUGUGGGGUGGUUGAAAACGAGACUCCAACCUAAGUGUAUGUAAACUUCCGACUUCAACUGUAUAUAGUGCACUACUGUUGACCAGGGUCCAUAGGACCAGUGCCCAUAUAACCAGGGCCAGGGCACAUAGGACCAGGACCCAUAGGACCAGGGCCCAUAGGACCAGGACCCAUAAGAUCAGGGCCCAUAGGACCAGGACCCAUAGGACCAGGGCCAGGGCACAUAGGACCAGGACCCAUACUAUCAGUGCCCAUAGGACCAGGACCCAUGGUACCAGGACCAAUCGUACCAGGGCCCAUAGGACCAGGACCCAUAGAACCAGGACCCAUAGAACCAGGACCAGGGCCCAUAGGACCAGGACCCAUAGUAUCAGGGCCCAUAGGACCAGGCCCCAUAGGACCAGGGCACAUAGGACCCAUAUGAUCAGGACCCAUAGAACCAGGGCCCAUAGGACUCUGGUCAAAAGUAGUGCACUAUACAGCACAUUCGGAAAGUAUUCAGACUCCUUCCCUUUUUCCAUGUUGUUACGUUACAGCCUUAUUCUCAAAUUAUUAUUUUUUUAUCCCUCCUCAAUCUACACACAAUACCCCAUAAUGACAAAGCGAAAACAGGUUUUAAGACAUUUUUGCAAAUCUAUUCAAAAUAAAAAACAGAAAUACUUUAUUUAGAUAAGUUUUCAGACCCUUUGCUAUAAGACUCAAAAUUGAGAUCAGAUGCAUCCUGUUUCCAUUGAUCAUCCUUGAGAUGUUUCUACAACUUGAUUGAACUCUUUGGCCUGAUGCCAGGCGUCACGUCUGGAGGAAACCUGCCACUAUCCCUACGGUGAAGCGUGCUGUGGGGAUAGUUUUCAGCGGCAGGGACUGGGAGACCAGUCAUGAUUGAGGGGAAGAUGAACGGAGCAAAGUACAGAGAGAUCCUUGAUGAAAGCCUCCAGAACGCUCAGGACCUCAGACUGGUGCGAAGGUUCACCUUCCAACAGAACAACGACCCUACGCACACAGCCAAGACAACGCAGGAGUGACUUCAGAACAAGUCUCUCAAUGUCCUUGAGUGGCCCAGCCAGAGCCCGGACUUGAACCCAAUCGAACAUCUCUGGAGAGACCGAAAAAUAGCUGUGCAGUGACGCUCCCCAUCCAACCUGACAGAGCUUGAGAGGAUCUACCGUGAAGAAUCGGAGAAACUCCCCAAAUACAGAUGUGCCAAGCUUGUAGUGUCAUACCCAAGAAGACUCGAGGCUGUAAUCACUGUCAAAGGUGCUUCAACAAAGUACUGAGUAAAGGGUCUGAAUACUUAUGUAAAUGUGAUAUUUCACUUGUUGUUUUUUUAUACAUCAGCAAACAUUUCUAAAACCAUAUUUUUGCUUUGUCAUUAUCGGGUAUUGAGUCUGGAUUGAUGAGGGGGAAAAAACAAUUUAAUGCAUUUUAGAAUAAGGCUAUAAUGUAACCAAAUGUGGAAAAAGUCAAGGGUUCUGAAAACUUUCAGAAUGCACUGUAUAGGGAAUAGGGUGCCUUUGGGCCGAAACCUGGUCUGUUGAGGAUGAGAGGUGAAUAUCAGAGAUAUUCUCUCAGUUCUGGACAAAAUGGUGAUUUGUGAUCCCCAUUGCUGUCAUAGGGUAUGAUUGACUAGGAUAUAGAUUUAAACUAUAUUUCUCCAAACUUGAGUGGAAAAUGUGUUUAUUUUGUAACUCUAAAAGUGAUCCUGAUAAUCCCUUCAGAGAUCAUGUCUCCCUGAGCAUUCAAGAUGCGUUCAUCAUAUUUGAGUUUUGCUCAAGGUAAAGCAACAUCAAAACAAAAUGAACAGACACUCCUCAGGGGUUCCAUUUUCUAUCCAAGAGGUCCUUCAUCUGAGGGCCAUGGUUUAGGCUGGCAUGGUAUGGCACACACCUGACCCUGCGCUGCCCCUGUCCCCUGACCACGCCACCCAGGCUGACAAUAUGCUACGCUCCAGUGCCUCCGUCUCUACCCAGGUGCCUCUGCAACAUGCCCACCUCCCCCCAACCUGACCUGACCUAUCCAAACAUUGCCAAACCUGGGAUAUAGGGGGCCCCACGAUCAGAUGGUUGAUGGUUCCCCAGGUUCUGUUUUGGAGAUUGAUGGAAACCUUCCAGGUGACGUGCUGGGGAGUGGGGAAAGGCAGCAGGCUGAGGUACUGUAGGUUAGGUUGAUGUCAGAGGGAAGCUAUUAGCUAGACGUAUGGGGCUCAUCGUGACCCAUCUGUUAGGAUUAGAGGUCUGCUGUUCCCUGGGUGUCUAUACUGUACUGAAGGUCUCUGUCUGUCUGCUGCUACCUGGGUGUCUAUACUGUACUGAAGGUCACUGUCUGUCUGCUGCUACCUGGGUGUCUAUACUGUACUGAAGGUCACUGUCUGUCUGCUGCUACCUGGGUGUCUAUACUGUACUGAAGGUCACUGUCUGUCUGCUGCUACCUGGGUGUCUAUACUGUACUGAAGGUCACUGUGUCUGCUUCUACCUGGGUGUCUAUACUGUACUGAAGGUCUCUGUCUGUCUGCUGCUACCUGGGUGUCUAUACUGUACUGAAGGUCACUGUCUGUCUGCUGCUACCUGGGUAUCUAUACUGUACUGUAGGUCUCUGUCUGUCUGCUUCUACCUGGGUGUCUAUACUGUACUGAAGGUCACUGUCUGUCUGCUGCUACCUGGGUGUCUAUACUGUACUGAAGGUCACUGUCUGUCUGCUGCUACCUGGGUAUCUAUACUGUACUGUAGGUCUCUGUCUGUCUGCUGCUACCUGGGUGUCUAUACUGUACUGUAGUUCUCUGUCUGUCUGCUGCUACCUGGGUGUCUAUACUGUACUGUAGGUCUCUGUCUGCUGCUACCUGGCUAUCUAUACUGUACUGUAGGUCUCUGUCUGUCUGCUGCUACCUGGCUCUCUAUACUGUACUGAAGGUAACUGUCUGUCUGCUGCUACCUAAGUUUCCACUGUCUCUCUCUUUUAGCUUGUGCAUUAUUUAAAUUGAGCUUCAAUGGAUGGUGCAAAGGAACAAAUGGAAUAGUCCCAAAACUGUGAACCCCGCCCACCUGGCUGGCACAUCAGGCAGCCUCAAUCAAAUGCUCAAAGUAUUUGAAAGAAAAUACAUGCUAUUUGAACCCAGGUCUGGUGUGGAGGACUCCAUCAGAGCACAAGACAGGUUUGUUUAUAUAUGAGCUGAGUAGCUAGGCUCAGGUCAACAGAUGGCCUCUUUAGGUUAGUUCUGUCUGCUGUUACUGAGGCCUUGUCGGACAUAGUCUACGCUGGGAAGUCCCUUGACUGUAUCAUACACAGUACUGGCAUUUCAUUUGGUUUUGAGAUCAAAUGAUGGGUGAAUGAAUUUGGUCUCAAAUGUGAUGUUUCAUUUAAAACUGUAUGAAAUGAAAAGUUUAAUCUUCUUAAAAUGUUAGAUAGCCAUACAGAUAUAAAUCCUUGAUACAGAUGAACUGCCUAUUAUACAGUAUUCUAGAUUAUAAUGUGACUGUCACAUCCUGACCAGUAAAGAGGUUAUUUUGUUAUUAUAGUAUGGUCAGAGCGUGGCAGGGUGGUGUUUGUUUUGUGUGUUUUGGGAUUUUGGGUUUGAUCUAUGUUAUCUAUUUCUAUGUUUUCCUUUCUAGUUCUUCUAUUUCUACGUUGUGUAUGUUUGGGUUGAUCUCUAAUUGGAGGCAGCUGAUCCUCGUUGCCUCUGAUUAGAGAUCAUAUUUAAGUAGGGGUUUUUCUUCAUGGGUUUUGUGAGUAGUUGUUUCCUUGUAUAGUCAGUGCACCUUACGGGACUGGUUUACGUGUUUGUGUUUAAGUGUGGUUCUUUAAUAAAUACGAAGAUGAGCACUUUGUCCGCUGCAUUUUGGUCCGAUGAUUCUUCCUCCUCAGACAACGAAGAUUGUGACAGUGACUAAAUGUUGUUAUAAUAAACUGGAAUUAUAUCUC
Molecule: long non-coding RNA, 7327 nt
Filed under: Salmo salar (Atlantic salmon)
Lineage: Eukaryota; Metazoa; Chordata; Actinopteri; Salmoniformes; Salmonidae
Description: lncRNA (ENSSSAG00000117432.1)
Source: RNAcentral